GAAAUGCGAUACGUAGUGUGAAUUGCAGAAUUCAGUGAAUCAUCGAAUCUUUGAACGCACAUUGCGCCCUUUGGUAUUCCAAAGGGCAUGCCUGUUCGAGCGUCAUUUGUACCCUCAAGCUUUGCUUGGUGUUGGGCGUCUUUUGUCUCCAGCUUGCUGGAGACUCGCCUUAAAGUCAUUGGCAGCCGGCCUACUGGUUUCGGAGCGCAGCACAAGUCGCGCUCUCUUCCAGCCAAGGUCAGCGUCCAGCAAGCCUUUUUUUCAACCUUUGACCUCGGAUCAGGUAGGGAUACCCGCUGAACUUAA
This 306-nucleotide unclassified non-coding RNA is filed under the name uncultured Alternaria. RNAcentral's name for it is "sequence contains ITS1". The stretch from base 1 to 105 matches the Rfam family "5.8S ribosomal RNA", at positions 50 to 154 of the family's 154-position model. RNAcentral also lists the same sequence under 1 other name. The record is from RNAcentral. Lineage: Eukaryota; Fungi; Ascomycota; Dothideomycetes; Pleosporales; Pleosporaceae.